This 250-nucleotide ribosomal RNA is filed under the name uncultured prokaryote. RNAcentral's name for it is "partial 16S ribosomal RNA". It matches the Rfam family "Bacterial small subunit ribosomal RNA", at positions 524 to 773 of the family's 1533-position model. The record is from RNAcentral.
UACGGAGGAUGCAAGCGUUAUCCGGAUUUAUUGGGUUUAAAGGGUGCGUAGGCGGAUAUGUAAGUCAGCGGUGAAACUCACAGGCUCAACCUGUGCCGUGCCGUUGAAACUGUGUAUCUGGAAUGCGGAUGCUGUGGGAGGAAUGUGUAGUGUAGCGGUGAAAUGCAUAGAUAUUACACAGAACACCGAUUGCGAAGGCAUCUCACAAAGCCGUUAUUGACGCUGAGGCACGAAGGUGUGGGGAGUCAAA